GAUGAACGCUGGCGGCGUGCCUAAUACAUGCAAGUCGAGCGAACAGACGAGGAGCUUGCUCCUCUGACGUUAGCGGCGGACGGGUGAGUAACAUGUGGAUAACCUACCUAUAAGACUGGGAUAACUUCGGGAAACCGGAGCUAAUACCGGAUAAUAUAUUGAACCGCAGGGUUCAAUAGUGAAAGACGGUUUUGCUGUCACUUAUAGAUGGAUCCGCGCCGCAUUAGCUAGUUGGUAAGGUAACGGCUUACCAAGGCGACGAUGCGUAGCCGACCUGAGAGGGUGAUCGGCGACACUGGAACUGAGACACGGUCCAGACUCCUACGGGAGGCAGCAGUAGGGAAUCUUCCGCAAUGGGCGAAAGCCUGACGGAGCAACGCCGCGUGAGUGAUGAAGGUCUUCGGAUCGUAAAACUCUGUUAUUAGGGAAGAACAAAUGUGUAAGUAACUAUGCACGUCUUGACGGUACCUAAUCAGAAAGCCACGGCUAACUACGUG
Molecule: ribosomal RNA, 497 nt
Filed under: uncultured bacterium
Lineage: Bacteria
Description: partial 16S ribosomal RNA
Rfam family: Bacterial small subunit ribosomal RNA
Source: RNAcentral